ACUUCCUUGGUUCCGGACACAGUCCACGCAGUAACUUGUUUUUGCAGAGACUGAUAGGCGGAUCGGGCGUGGCCCGAGCGCGCCCCACUCAGGGAAAGCUGCCGUCCCUCUUUGCCUUUGAGCGCCGCAGCCCUGAGAAUCGCAUCUGGCUUGGAAACGGUCCCAGGACUGGAGCCACCAAGAAAGCCGAAGGCAGUCGCGAAGAGCCGAGGACGCCCAGAGACUCUGCGGCUUCCGGGAAGCGGAACCGAGCCUACCCGGAAGGAGCCAACCUCACCUGAGGCUCGCUGAGCACCGGCAGGCGUUAAACCUAACGGAGCCCACGUCAUGGCGGCAGACGGGACAGGGGUAGUCGGAGGAGGGGCUGUCGGCGGCGGCCUGCCCAAGGACGGUUUGCAGGAUGCUAAGUGCCCAGAGCCAAUCCCCAAUCGGCGGCGCGCUUCCUCGCUGUCCCGUGACGCGCAGCGCCGAGCCUAUCAGUGGUGCCGGGAGUACCUGGGCGGGGCCUGGCGCCGAGCGCGGCCGGAGGAGCUGAGCGUUUGUCCCGUGAGCGGAGGCCUCAGCAACCUGCUCUUCCGAUGCUCACUACCGAACCACGUACCCAGUGUGGGCGGGGAGCCCCGGGAGGUGCUGCUACGACUCUACGGGGCCAUCCUGCAGGGUGUAGACUCCUUGGUAUUAGAAAGCGUGAUGUUCGCCAUUCUCGCAGAGCGGUCUCUAGGGCCCCAGCUUUACGGAGUGUUUCCAGAGGGCCGCUUGGAACAGUACCUCCCAGUAAGAGCCCAGUUUUUGUUGUUUUUACCCCAAGUCUUUACCCUUCCCAAAGUCUGCCUUCACAUCCCAGGUAGGGAAAUUUCCCUAAGACCUUGAUCUCCUCCCAUCCCGUAUCCCUUCCCCCUCCCGCCCCAGCCCCCUCACCACCCUGAUAGGUUACUGGGUACAGAGCCGGCCGUUGAAAACUCAAGAGCUCCGGGACCCAGUGUUGUCGGGAGCCAUUGCAACGAGGAUGGCCCGUUUCCAUGGUAUGGAGAUGCCCUUCACUAAGGAGCCCCGAUGGUUGUUUGGGACCAUGGAGCGGUACCUGAAGCAGAUCCAGGACUUGCCUUCCACCAGCCUUCCCCAGAUGAACCUGGUAGAGAUGUACAGCCUCAAGGACGAGAUGAACAGCCUCAGGAAGUUACUAGACGAUACCCCGUCACCAGUGGUCUUCUGCCACAAUGACAUCCAGGAAGGAAACAUCUUGUUGCUUUCAGAGCCAGACAGUGAUGAUAACCUCAUGUUGGUUGAUUUUGAGUACAGUAGUUAUAACUACAGGGGCUUUGACAUUGGGAAUCAUUUUUGUGAGUGGGUUUAUGAUUAUACUUAUGAAGAAUGGCCUUUCUACAAAGCAAGACCCACGGACUACCCCACUAGAGAACAGCAGCUCCAUUUUAUUCGCCAUUAUCUGGCAGAGGUUCAGAAGGGUGAGAUCCUCUCCGAAGAGGAACAGAAGAAACGGGAAGAAGAAUUGCUGCUAGAGAUCAGUCGGUACUCCCUGGCAUCUCACUUUUUCUGGGGUCUGUGGUCCACCCUGCAGGCUUCGAUGUCCACUAUAGAGUUCGGCUACUUGGAGUAUGCCCAAUCUCGGUUCCAGUUCUACUUCCAGCAGAAGGGCCAGCUGACGAGUUCCCCAUCAUCCUGAGGAUCCAACCCCACCUCAAGUUUCUCCUGGAGCCUCCGGGGCAGGACCUUGGAGGGAGGGGCAGAGAGCAGACGACCCCCAGAGACGGGGCUGUGCCUCAAAGUGCUGAAUAAACCCCAGGAUGGCGGAAGCACACCAGGCAGUAGCUUUCCAGUUCACUGUGACCCCAGACGGGGUCGACUUCCGGCUUAGUCGGGAGGCUCUGAGACACAUCUACCUGUCUGGAAUCAACUCCUGGAAGAAACGCCUUAUUCGAAUCAAGAAUGGCAUCCUUAGGGGUGUGUACCCUGGCAGCCCCACCAGCUGGCUGGUUGUUGUCAUGGCAACAGUUGGUUCCAACUACUGCAAGGUGGACAUCUCCAUGGGACUGGUCGAUUGCAUCCAGAGAUGCCUCCCGGAAAGGUAUGGCCACUUUGGGACCCCACAGACAGAGGCACUUCUCAGCAUGGUCAUCUUCUCCACCGGAGUCUGGGCGACAGGCAUUUUCUUCUUCCGACAAACCCUGAAGCUGCUGCUCUCCUACCACGGGUGGAUGUUCGAGAUGCACAGCAAGACCAGCCAUGCCACCAAGAUCUGGGCUAUCUGUGUCCGUCUCCUGUCCAGCCGGCGGCCCAUGCUCUACAGCUUCCAAACGUCACUGCCUAAGCUUCCUGUCCCCAGCGUGCCAGCCACAAUUCACCGGUACUUGGAUUCUGUGCGGCCCUUAUUGGAUGAUGAAGCAUAUUACCGCAUGGAGACAUUGGCCAAGGAAUUCCAGGACAAGACUGCCCCCAGGCUGCAGAAAUACCUGGUGCUCAAGUCAUGGUGGGCAACUAACUAUGUGAGUGACUGGUGGGAAGAAUAUGUCUACCUCCGAAGCAGGAGCCCCCUCAUGGUGAACAGCAACUAUUAUGCCAUGGAUUUUGUGCUUAUUAAGAACACAAAUGUGCAAGCAGCCCGUCUAGGCAAUGCCGUUCACGCCAUGAUCAUGUAUCGCCGCAAACUGGACCGUGAAGAGAUCAAGCCGACUUGCUACAGCACCUCUCAGAGAGCAGGCACGUGGCUGUCUACCACAAAGGUCGCUUCUUCAAGGUCUGGCUCUAUGAGGGCUCGCGCCUGCUCAAGCCCCGAGACCUGGAGAUGCAGUUCCAGAGAAUCCUCGACGACCCUUCCCCACCUCAGCCUGGGGAGGAGAAGCUGGCAGCCCUCACCGCAGGAGGAAGGGUAGAGUGGGCAGAGGCACGUCAGACCUUCUUCAGCUCUGGCAAGAACAAGAUGUCUCUGGACGCCAUCGAACGUGCUGCUUUCUUUGUGACCCUGGAUGAAGAUUCUCAUUGCUACAACCCUGACGAUGAGACCAGUCUUAGCCUCUACGGCAAAGCCUUGCUCCAUGGCAACUGCUAUAACAGGUGGUUUGACAAAUCUUUCACCCUUAUCUCCUGCAAGAAUGGCCUGUUAGGCCUCAACACCGAACACUCGUGGGCAGACGCGCCCAUCAUUGGGCACCUCUGGGAGUUUGUCCUGGGCACUGAUACCUUUCACCUGGGCUACACGGAGACAGGACACUGUGUGGGUGAGCCAAACACCACGUUGCCACCCCCUCAGCGGCUGCCGUGGGACAUUCCCGAGCAGUGCCGGGAAGCCAUCGAGAACUCGUACCAAGUAGCCAAGGCACUGGCCGAUGACGUGGAGCUCUACUGCUUCCAGUUCUUACCCUUUGGCAAAGGUCUUAUCAAGAAGUGUAGGACCAGCCCCGACGCUUUUGUGCAGAUUGCCCUACAGCUGGCUCAUUUCCGGGACAAAGGCAAGUUCUGCCUGACUUACGAGGCCUCGAUGACAAGAAUGUUCCGAGAGGGGCGGACUGAGACUGUGCGUUCCUGUACCAACGAGUCCGCAGCCUUUGUGCAGGCCAUGAUGAAGGGGUCCCAUAAGAAACAAGACCUCCAAGAUCUCUUCCGGAAAGCCUCCGAAAAGCACCAAAACAUGUACCGCCUAGCCAUGACAGGGGCUGGGAUCGACCGGCACCUCUUCUGCCUUUACAUCGUCUCCAAGUACUUAGGAGUUAGCUCUCCUUUCCUGGCUGAGGUACUUUCUGAACCCUGGAGCCUCUCCACCAGCCAGAUCCCCCAGUUCCAGAUCUGCAUGUUUGACCCAAAACAGUAUCCCAAUCAUCUGGGUGCUGGAGGUGGCUUUGGUCCCGUGGCGGAUGAUGGCUACGGGGUCUCUUACAUGAUCGCAGGAGAAAACACCAUGUUCUUCCACAUCUCCAGCAAAUACUCAAGUUCAGAGACGAACGCCCAGCGCUUUGGGAACCACAUCCGCCAAGCACUGUUGGACAUCGCCGAACUUUUCAAAAUUUCCAAGACAGACAGCUGAGGAAAAGAGAUACCCCAGCUGCCCUCUGGUCCCCACCUGGUGGAAGAAGAGGCCUGUGGCCAGCUCACAGGCAUAAGGGGUGGCGUGCACACACGCCCAGUUCGGAGAACAGCUCUUGAGGCAGUGCUCCCCGGAGGAGGCAGUGCUCCCUGGGCAGAUACUGCUCCUCUAGGGCCCCCGCUGGAGGUGGGAUUGGAGCAGCAGGGGAAUUUUGAUUUUUUUUUUUUUUUUUUGGCUUGGUAGAUGUUAAUAAAAAUAAGGCUGUAUAAUUCUUACUUGGCUGUUAGGUGCCUAUGUUUUUGUUAGAGAACGAUAAGGCCCUUUCCUGCCCCAGCUCAGCCUAGGAUGGAGGCGAUGGAAGGGGUCGGAGAAUGUUCAUAAUGGGCUUCUUACCUGCUUUGAAAUGGGUGCUCUUCUUGAAUAAUGCGGACUUGGAGAGCGCUGUCCAACCUCUCAUGUGCACUUGGAAUAAAUUCUUACUUUAGAACCUUAAAAAAAAAAAAAAAAAAAA
Molecule: long non-coding RNA, 4547 nt
Filed under: Mus musculus (house mouse)
Lineage: Eukaryota; Metazoa; Chordata; Mammalia; Rodentia; Muridae
Description: predicted readthrough transcript (NMD candidate), 44502 (Gm44502)
Source: RNAcentral